UACUUCGAGUAAGUUUUUGGG
This 21-nucleotide non-coding RNA is filed under the name Caenorhabditis elegans. Lineage: Eukaryota; Metazoa; Nematoda; Chromadorea; Rhabditida; Rhabditidae. The record is from RNAcentral.